RNAcentral lists this unclassified non-coding RNA (40 nucleotides) under Ancylostoma caninum (dog hookworm). The record is from RNAcentral. RNAcentral also lists the same sequence under 1 other name. Lineage: Eukaryota; Metazoa; Nematoda; Chromadorea; Rhabditida; Ancylostomatidae.
GGUUUAAUUACCCAAGUUUGAGAAGUUCUCGACUGCAAUC